This 489-nucleotide ribosomal RNA is filed under the name uncultured bacterium. RNAcentral's name for it is "partial 16S ribosomal RNA". It matches the Rfam family "Bacterial small subunit ribosomal RNA", at positions 28 to 523 of the family's 1533-position model. The record is from RNAcentral.
GACGAACGCUGGCGGCGUGCCUAACACAUGCAAGUCGAGCGGAGAUUAGUUGAAGAUUUAUCUAAUACUAAUUUUAGCGGCGGACGGGUGAGUAACGCGUGGGCAACCUGCCUCAUACUGGGGGAUAACACUGGGAAACUAGUGCUAAUACCGCAUAACAAGGUUUUACCGCAUGGUAGAACUUUCAAAGGAGCAAUCCGGUAUGAGAUGGGCCCGCGUCCGAUUAGCUAGUUGGUGGGGUAAAGGCCUACCAAGGCGACGAUCGGUAGCCGAACUGAGAGGUUGAUCGGCCACAUUGGGACUGAGACACGGCCCAGACUCCUACGGGAGGCAGCAGUGGGGAAUAUUGCGCAAUGGGGGAAACCCUGACGCAGCAACGCCGCGUGAAGGAUGAAGGUCUUCGGAUUGUAAACUUCUUUGAUUGGGGACGAAUAAUGACGGUACCCAAAAAACAAGCCACGGCUAACUACGUGCCAGCCGCCGCAGUAA